RNAcentral lists this unclassified non-coding RNA (1218 nucleotides) under Hevea brasiliensis (rubber tree). Lineage: Eukaryota; Viridiplantae; Streptophyta; Magnoliopsida; Malpighiales; Euphorbiaceae. The record is from RNAcentral.
GAUGGAGUUCGUAUGACAUGGAAUUCUUGGCCAAGAACCAAAGUUGAAGCAAGCAAAUGUAUAAUCCCAAUUGCUUCUUCAAUUCAAUUGCUUCGUCCAUUCCCUGAUCUACCUACCCUACCUUACGCCCCCCUUCGUUGUAAAACUUGUUCAUCAAUCUUAAACCCCUUUUGUCGUGUUGAUUUUCAAGCUUUAAUUUGGAUCUGUCCGUUUUGUUUCCAACGUAAUCAUUUCCCUCAGCAUUAUUCAGGAAUUUCGGAAACGAAUGUACCUGCUGAGCUUUAUCCCCAAUUUACUACUAUUCAGUAUGCGAUUCAGAACCCUGGUGGUCAUAAUUCUCCACCUGUCUAUUUGUUUGUGUUGGAUACUUGUAUGUUGGAUGAAGAAUUGGAGUUUGCUAAAUCUGCAUUGAAAAGGGUUAUUGGACUUUUGCCUGAUUAUGCUAUGGUGGGGUUUAUUUCGUAUGGUACACAGGUGCAGGUACAUGAACUUGGGUUUUCGGAUAUGUCGAAGGUUUUUGUGUUUCAGGGUUCGAAGGACUUGUCGAAAGAUCAAGUUUUGGAUCAGUUAGGACUUGGUAGUAUUAGUGGUAGGAAGGGUGGUGGUGGUGGUGUUGGGGUGAAUGGUGGACCUAAUCAUGGGUUGACUAGGUUCUUGUUACCUGCUUCUGAGUGUGAGUAUACACUUGAUUCGUUGCUAGAUGAAUUGAGUACGGAUCAAUGGCCUGUGACACCGGGAAACAGAGCUUCGCGCUGCACUGGGGUGGCAUUGAGUGUGGCAACUGGUCUGCUUGGUGCUUGUUUGGCUGGGGCAGGUGCUCGGAUUGUUGCAUUAGUUGGGGGUCCUUGCACUGAAGGACCUGGCGCGAUUGUGUCGAAGGAUUUAUCGGAACCUGUUCGUUCUCAUAAAGAUCUACACAAGGAUGCUGCACCAUUUUUUAAAAAGGCUGUUCAUUUCUACGAGGAACUCGCAAAGCAACUUGUCAGUCACGGUCACAUCUUAGAUGUUUUUGCUUCAGCACUUGACCAGGUUGGAGUUGCAGAGAUGAAAGUAGCUAUUGAAAAGACUGGAGGACAAGUUGUUCUUGCUGAAAGCUUUGGGCAUUCAGUUUUCAAAGAUUCCUUCAAGCGUGUAUUUGAAGUUGGUGAACAGUCUCUUGGGCUUUGCUUCAAUGCUACAUUAGAGAUCAACUGUUCCAAGGAUAUUAAAAUUCAAGGG